CUUUUUCAAACUUAAUGGAGGCCUGAGCCAAAACAUGCAACGGUGGUGACUGGAAUAAGCUUGAAUUCAGAGAAAACUCUUAUUACAUCCUGGGGACAGUCUAAUUUGUGAGAAGAGAAAGCAAGCUGCUGCUUUACUGGGAGAACAGCCUGAGAGCACAUUAUAGGGGCACUGGGAAUAUCAGAUGGAGGAUUGCCAGUUGUGGCGCAUCCCUGAUCAUUACAGAGCUAGUGAGCCUUUGCUAAUUGGUCCCAGCUAAGGCCCUGUGUUUUGCUUUACUUGAAACUGGCUUUGCACUUGUACUUUACUGCACUGCAAGACCACAUCAAGCAGCUGGGAGUCACGGUUGAAAGUGCUACUUGAGAUACCAUUGAGCAACUUGCUCCUUAGAGCAGAGGACUGUAACCUUUUUUGUUCUGCGCUGAAUGGCAACAGCUGAAGUCUAAGGAAGGGAGGCUGCAUGCUGAGGGUGAGCUCAAGCCGUGCAGGUUUAUUACCUGGUACAUUCUGUAUGCCUGGGAACAACAGCACUUCCCUUUGGAAAGAGGCUCUGGAGCUUCGCGUGAGUGAGCCAGGGACAGAUGGGAAUAGAAGCAAGAUGAUCUCUAUCACUUCUGGUGGGAGGUUUAUGGUUAGGAUGUGAAGUUUCCCAGAUCAAGCAGUGGGAGGCUGCUGCAGGUGAAAAAAUCUGCUUGGUACAUGGAUUGCCUUUCAUGCUUAGUUUAUUGGAAAAGUGAAAACUGUGCGGGAGGGGAGUUUUCUCUUGCUAUAUUUGCAGUGGUACAGGACAUCAAAAUCUCUGGUGACAGUUGUUGCAGGGGAGGACAAUUGUAUAGGUUAGGCAACAAAGGCAAAUAUUAUUUCAGGCCUUGUUCCUAGUUAUUUAGGAUAAAAUUAGGGUGUAUAUUGUUAUGAGAACAUUGUGAACAGAAGUAAAUAAAACAAAGUUGCAGAAACUUAAAGUUAAGGCU
This 971-nucleotide long non-coding RNA is filed under the name Cyanistes caeruleus (blue tit). RNAcentral describes it as "lncRNA (ENSCCEG00000020822.1)". The record is from RNAcentral. Lineage: Eukaryota; Metazoa; Chordata; Aves; Passeriformes; Paridae.